UAGGGAAUCUUCCGCAAUGGACGCAAGUCUGACGGAGCAACGCCGCGUGAGUGAAGAAGGAUUUCGGUUCGUAAAACUCUGUUGUUAGAGAAGAACAGCGCAUAGAGUAACUGUUAUGCGUGUGACGGUAUCUAACCAGAAAGCCACGGCUAACUACGUGCCAGCAGCCGCGGUAAUACGUAGGUGGCAAGCGUUGUCCGGAUUUAUUGGGCGUAAAGCGAGCGCAGGCGGUCAAUUAAGUCUGAUGUGAAAGCCCCCGGCUCAACCGGGGAGGGUCAUGGGAAACUGGUUGACUUGAGUGCAGAAGAGGAGAGGGGAAUUCCAUGUGUAGCGGUGAAAUGCGUAGAUAUAUGGAGGAACACCAGUGGCGAAGGCGACUCUCUGGUCUGUAACUGACGCUGAGGCUCGAAAGCGUGGGUAGCAAACAGG
This 429-nucleotide ribosomal RNA is filed under the name Bacteroidota bacterium. RNAcentral's name for it is "Bacteroidetes bacterium partial 16S ribosomal RNA". It matches the Rfam family "Bacterial small subunit ribosomal RNA", at positions 355 to 776 of the family's 1533-position model. Lineage: Bacteria; Pseudomonadati; Bacteroidota. The record is from RNAcentral.